This is a non-coding RNA of Cercocebus atys (sooty mangabey), 1987 nucleotides long. The record is from the annotation of a RefSeq genome assembly. NCBI's taxonomy places the organism in Eukaryota, Metazoa, Chordata, Mammalia, Primates, Cercopithecidae.
GCCUGCAAUAGCCCAUGUUUGUGGAAUAAACAACUUACCUUGUGACCUUGCCAGCCCGUCACAGCUCUCUCUCAGGAAGUGAGUAACACCAAACCACCUAUAUAACGGACAAAACUUCUCCUGGGCAGAGAGCUGCUGAUCUGGGCAGGGACCGCCAGGAGAGCACCGGCCUACUGCAGGGUCACCACCGCCCCCCGCCCAUGAAGCCAUGCCAAAGACCUGUCUCCUCUUCUUCCUCACCAUCUUCUGCACAGGGGUCUCAUUGGAUAUAAUUUUGAAACCGGAUACCAAAGCACUGACUGUCCUCAUUGGGGAGGCUGCUACCUUCCGUUGCAGUGUAAUAGGAGGGGACCUGAAGAACUAUCAAAUAAGCUGGUAUAAGAAGAGUGAAGAUAACUCGCUGAUUUUGAUCUCCAAACUAAGCAACAAUUCUAAUGACAAUUUAGGGAAUAAUUUCAAGGUGAAAAUCGAUACUUUAAAAAGUCAAUUUAUGCUUGACAUUCAAAAAGCAACAACACAAGAUGUUGGGACUUACUACUGUGCGUCUGAUAUCCACAGUGCUGCGGGCUCCGUUUCUGACCGCUUCAGAAACCCUAGGGCCAAACUGAGGCGGCAUAUCCAAUUCGAGACCACCCCGGGCUAAAAUGUGCACCACACCUGAGGUGAAGCUGCCUGAUCACUUCAACAGUAACAUCUGAUAAAAGAGGCCAUGAGUUCAAGUGGGGGCAAGGGGCUUAUCUUUGCAGUUGGCUUAGAGGGGCCUUCUUUAUCAGUUGAAGAGGGCAGAAAAGACUGUGAGGAUUUUUGUGGAGAGAUGUUGUGGGGGGAGGGGGGUUGCUGCACCUGUCUCUCACAGGCUCCUGAGGAAAGGUUGAAAAUAACAGCUUUUAAUACUGAAUAGGCCCUCUCAUUGUGAAGGCAGGCUGAGGUAAACAGAACUUUUACUAUCAUGAGUGCUAUAGCUCAUUGCAGUCUUUAUUGUGAAAGUGUUCAUGUGCAUAAGCCAGAUAAAGCAAGGAUGGUUUUCCAUUACCAUCCUAAUCAAAAUUUCCAAAGCUAUUAGAGAUAGCUUUAAUUCUUACUCUGUGAAGAAGGGUGAAUAGAGUCAUUUUCUGAAAUGUUUCCACAACUAUUUCAGGUAUUGAGUGUUUUAUAUCUUCCCUCAGCUGUCGAAGAGUCCUGGGGACCGGUAGGGGUGAGCAGGAAGGGGAAAUGCACAGGCUUCCUUCAUGCCGGUUGCUGAGAGAGAGCUUAGAGACAAAUACUUGUGGCAAUGUGGAAUUUCUGAGUUGAGCAUGGGUCAACUAAAUUUAAAAAUUUAUUUGAUUCCCGAGUCCCAAGCUGAAAUGGGUAAGCCAAGAAGGUAUGAGACUGCAGGGAGCAAAUACCUGGAGGAACCCACUGAGCAGACGAGUAGGCAGAGGGGCUUAAACAUACAAACAUUAAACCCUCAUCCAGGUAGUGCCUUCAUCCUGUUGGCUCUCUUUGUUCUGCUCAAAUAUCUGUCUGGAAUCCUCUCUCUACCUAAGGUUAAAAUUCGGGCAUUAGGACACAGAGUAGACAUAACCGUAAAAAUUACAACUAAAAGUCAACCCUCCUGAUACCUUCUAUUCAACGUUUCUUCCAAUGUGCUAUCAUCUUCAUCACAUGUUUUUUCUAGGAUACUUACUGUUCAUGGUAUUGGGACGGGUCAUGGGAAUAGCAAAGUUCUAAGGCAAGUUCUAGUCAAAGUUCUAUUCUCAUCAAUGUGUUUUCAAUUUAGUUUUAAAAGACAGGGCAUUCGAAAGUACAAUUAAAGAUUACAAAGAAUACAAAAAUAUAAGACAGCACAUAUGAUAAUGAGGGUUAGUGAUUUCAUGUGCAGCGCUCUAGGAGUUUAUGAAAGGACCAACCACUCUGAGAAAAGUUUCUUAGGUUUGAGACUGCAGUGAGCUAUGAUCACACCACUGCACUCGAACCUGGGUGAAAGAGUGAGAUCCUGACUCAA